CACAGAGGGCUCCAGCGUGAUUGCCACUGGUUAAUGACCUGCCACCCCCGCCCCCCCAACCUCUGGUGCCGUCCAAGGACUCUGACCCCAGUGCAGUGUCUGUAGGGAAGAGGAGCCAUGGGGCUUCGGGCAGGCCCCAUCCUGCUUCUGCUGCUGUGGCUGCUGCCAGAAUGCGGCCACUCCAAGGAGGCCGGGAGGAUUGUGGGAGGCCAAGACAGCCAGGAAGGACGCUGGCCGUGGCAGGUUGGCCUGUGGUUGACCUCAGUGGGGCAUGUAUGUGGGGGCUCCCUCAUCCACCCACGCUGGGUGCUCACAGCUGCCCACUGCUUCCUGAGGGUGACUCCGGGGGGCCGCUGGUCUGCCCCAUCAAUGAUACGUGGAUCCAGGCCGGCAUUGUGAGCUGGGGAUUCGGCUGUGCCCGGCCUUUCCGGCCUGGUGUCUACACCCAGGUGCUAAGCUACACAGACUGGAUUCAGAGAACCCUGGCUGAAUCUCACUCAGGCAUGUCCGGGGCCCGCCCAGGUGCCCCCGGAUCCCACUCAGGCACCUCCAGAUCCCACCCAGUGCUGCUGCUUGAGCUGCUGACCGUAUGCUUGCUUGGGUCCCUGUGAACCAUGAGCCAUGGAGUCCGGGAUCCCCUUUCUGGUAGGAUUGAUGGAAUCUAAUAAUAAAAACUGUAGGUUUUUUAUGUGUAUUUUA
This 699-nucleotide small RNA is filed under the name Pan troglodytes (chimpanzee). RNAcentral's name for it is "processed transcript". Lineage: Eukaryota; Metazoa; Chordata; Mammalia; Primates; Hominidae. The record is from RNAcentral.